CAGAAACCUCAAACUGUCUGAAAACAACAGGAAGGUGACAAAUGUGAAGGAGGAUCAGUCAUAUCCUGAUCAUCCAGACAGAUUUGACUCCUGUCCUCAGCUGCUGUGUAGAAAUGUUCUGACUGGUCGCUGUUACUGGGAGGUCGAGUGGAGAGGAAGAGUUUUUAUAUCAGUGAGUUACAGAGGAAUCAGCAGGAGAGGAGGCAGAGCUGACUGUGUGUUUGGAAGAAAUGAUCAGUCCUGGAGACUGGACUGCUCUGAUGAUGGUCGUUACUCUGUCUGUCACAAUCACAGAACAACACCCAUCUCUUCCUCCUCUUCCUCCUCCUCCUCCUCCUCCUCCUCCUCCUCCUCCUCCUCCUCCUCCUCCUCCUCCUCCUCCUCUGUCUCUAACAGAGUAGCAGUGUAUGUGGACUGUCCUGCUGGCACUCUGUCCUUCUACAGAGUCUCCUCUGACACACUGAUCCACCUCCACACCUUCAACACCACAUUCACUGAACCUCUGUGUGCUGGGUUUGCAGUCUGGUCUGGUUCAGUAGUCUCUCUGUGUCCUCUGUAGGAGGGAGAGUCUCUCUGUGUCCUCUGUAGGAGGGAGAGUCUCUCUGUGUCUUCUGUAGGAGGGAGAGUCUCUCUGUGUCCUCUGUAGGAAGGAGAGUCUCUCCUGUGGACAGAAACUCUGCUGACUGAAGAUCAGCUGCUGAAAUCAAACAUCACACACACUCUGCACUGUGAAGCAGAUCUGUCUCAGACUCAAACACUCAGUUAUGUUUCCUUCCUCAUCAUUCUUUGAUGUCAGGACUGUAGAUGUAGUUUGUGUUAAAAUAUGUCUUAUUAAUGUGUAUAUACAGAAGGCAAUUGGUGGAUUGACUUCCAGCCCUGGUAGAUGAUUGGCUGAGGAUCCAUAUCACCACGCAUCAUAAGUCCUAGAACCUCUCUUUGGUGAUGGCUCAAUGUUUAAAAUACACAAAGAGCUGAAAUAUUGUUUUUAUUUUGACGACGACUUGCUAUGUGUAAAGAUGACACAUAGGACUGAGUAUAAACUCCUACAGCAGCACUUGAAGUGUUGUCUUUUGAUUAAUGGAUGUAAAGGCUCCAAUAUUCCUUAUAGAUGUGUAUCUUGAAUAUGUAUGAUGUAUUUUUAUAUUCCUCCUUAACAUGCUAAGUAAUCAAAUUGGUUAUAUUUCUUACAUUUAGCCUAUUUUUGAGUUUAAGUUUUGAUUCAUAUUUUCUACUUAUAUUUUUGAUGUUUUGA
Scomber scombrus (Atlantic mackerel) is the source of this 1252-nucleotide long non-coding RNA. RefSeq lists it as uncharacterized. The record is from RefSeq and is a predicted model, not a curated record. NCBI's taxonomy places the organism in Eukaryota, Metazoa, Chordata, Actinopteri, Scombriformes, Scombridae. The transcript has 2 exons.